Molecule: ribosomal RNA, 614 nt
Filed under: uncultured Lachnospiraceae bacterium
Lineage: Bacteria; Bacillati; Bacillota; Clostridia; Lachnospirales; Lachnospiraceae
Description: bacterial SSU rRNA
Rfam family: Bacterial small subunit ribosomal RNA
Source: RNAcentral
UUGACUUAGCGGCGGACGGGUGAGUAACGCGUGGGUAACCUGCCUUACACUGGGGGAUAACAGUUAGAAAUGACUGCUAAUACCGCAUAAGCGCACAGGGCCGCAUGGUCCGGUGUGAAAAACUCCGGUGGUGUAAGAUGGACCCGCGUCUGAUUAGGUAGUUGGUGGGGUAACGGCCCACCAAGCCGACGAUCAGUAGCCGACCUGAGAGGGUGACCGGCCACAUUGGGACUGAGACACGGCCCAAACUCCUACGGGAGGCAGCAGUGGGGAAUAUUGGACAAUGGGCGAAAGCCUGAUCCAGCGACGCCGCGUGAGUGAAGAAGUAUUUCGGUAUGUAAAGCUCUAUCAGCAGGGAAGAAAAUGACGGUACCUGACUAAGAAGCCCCGGCUAACUACGUGCCAGCAGCCGCGGUAAUACGUAGGGGGCAAGCGUUAUCCGGAUUUACUGGGUGUAAAGGGAGCGUAGACGGUUUAGCAAGUCUGAAGUGAAAGCCCGGGGCUCAACCCCGGUACUGCUUUGGAAACUGUUAGACUUGAGUGCAGGAGAGGUAAGUGGAAUUCCUAGUGUAGCGGUGAAAUGCGUAGAUAUUAGGAGGAACACCAGUGGCGAA